AGUGGACGCUGGCGGUAGGCCUAACACAUGCAAGUCGAACGGCAGCACAGUAAGAGCUUGCUCUUACGGGUGGCGAGUGGCGGACGGGUGAGGAAUACAUCGGAAUCUACUUUUUCGUGGGGGAUAACGUAGGGAAACUUACGCUAAUACCGCAUACGACCUACGGGUGAAAGCAGGGGAUCUUCGGACCUUGCGCGAUUGUAUGAGCCGAUGUCGGAUUAGCUAGUUGGCGGGGUAAAGGCCCACCAAGGCGACGAUCCGUAGCUGGUCUGAGAGGAUGAUCAGCCACACUGGAACUGAGACACGGUCCAGACUCCUACGGGAGGCAGCAGUGGGGAAUAUUGGACAAUGGGCGCAAGCCUGAUCCAGCCAUACCGCGUGGGUGAAGAAGGCCUUCGGGUUGUAAAGCCCUUUUGUUGGGAAAGAAAAGCAGCAGGUUAAUACCCCGCUGUUCUGACGGUACCCAAAGAAUAAGCACCGGCUAACUUCGUG
Molecule: ribosomal RNA, 492 nt
Filed under: uncultured bacterium
Lineage: Bacteria
Description: partial 16S ribosomal RNA
Rfam family: Bacterial small subunit ribosomal RNA
Source: RNAcentral